AGCUGGAGACUUAGGGAGGAGACGUCUUGUUCUAGUUUCAGGGUCGUGGAGCUGCAGACUGAGGCAGGAGCAUUGUUGUUAUAGUUCGAGGGUCAGAAAGCUGGCGACCCAGGGAGGAGAGGUCUUGUUCUGGUCUGAGGGUCGUGGAGCUGCAGACCCAGGGAGGAGCAAUUUUGUUGUAGUUCGAGGGUCAGGAAGCUGGCGACCCAGGGAGGAGAGGUCUUGUUCUAGUUUGAGGGUCGUGGAGCUGCAGACCCAGGGAGGAGCCAUGUUGGUUUGAAUGUUGUGGAUCUG
This 294-nucleotide long non-coding RNA is filed under the name Homo sapiens (human). RNAcentral's name for it is "HSALNT0401350". Lineage: Eukaryota; Metazoa; Chordata; Mammalia; Primates; Hominidae. The record is from RNAcentral.